AGUGUUUGAUCAUGGCUCAGGAUGAACGCUGGCGGCGUGCCUAACACAUGCAAGUCGAACGAAGCACUUUGGAUGGAGAUUCGUCAAAAUCUGAUUUGACUUAGUGGCGGACGGGUGAGUAAUGUGUGAGCAACCUGCCUUUCAGAGGGGGACAACAGUUGGAAACGGCUGCUAAUACCGCAUAUGCGCGUAGCUGAGAUGCUAUUCGUGAAAACUCCGGUGCUCUGGGAUGAGUCUGCAUCUGAUUAGCUAGUUGGGGGUGUAAUGGACCACCAAGGCGACGAUCAGUAGCUGGUUUGAGAGGAUGAUCAGCCACAUUGGGACUGAGACACGGCCCAGACUCC
RNAcentral lists this ribosomal RNA (344 nucleotides) under uncultured cyanobacterium. RNAcentral describes it as "bacterial SSU rRNA". It matches the Rfam family "Bacterial small subunit ribosomal RNA", at positions 8 to 339 of the family's 1533-position model. The record is from RNAcentral. Lineage: Bacteria; Bacillati; Cyanobacteriota.